Long non-coding RNA from Ornithorhynchus anatinus (platypus), 478 nucleotides. RefSeq lists it as uncharacterized. Lineage: Eukaryota; Metazoa; Chordata; Mammalia; Monotremata; Ornithorhynchidae. The record is from RefSeq and is a predicted model, not a curated record. The transcript is spliced from 3 exons.
AUAAACUGGGAGGGAUUAGUGCCAGGGAGGAUUUCGCCGUCACAGCUUCUCAGAAGCAGUUUCAGUUCUCAGCGAGUGGGAGCUGCGGAAAGGGGAUCCAAGAAGGCCUCUUGCUGAGGUGGUAAUAAUAAGAAGAAGAAGAUGGCUAUCCAAUAUCCUCAUAAGCCUCAGCAACCCCCGACCUGCACCCAACAGCAGCAUAGAGUUCCCAGGAAGCCGAGGUUUCCCAGUCAUUGUGAGUGUUUCCUCUUCUAAACCUGGAGGACUUCUUGGAGGCAGGGAUAUCAUCUAUAUAAGUGACUGUCACUGCUGCUCCUCACUCUAUGGGAGGAGACUGGUCUAUUACAAGGUAAGUAGCUGUGUAAUCUCCUACAUUUAUAAAGACUGAACCUUGUUGUGUCUGUGACCGCUGCUGCUAUUACCACUACUAGAGUGACUCUUGGGAAGAAAAGGAAAAGGAGGAAGAGUAGGAAGAGAG